UUGUUGCGGUUAAAAAGCUCGUAGUUGGAUUUCUGUUGAGGACGACCGGUCCGCACUAUGUGCGUGUAUCUGGUUCGGCCUUGGCAUCCUCCAGGGGAACAGUGCUGCGCUUGAUUGCGUGGUCUGGUAUUCUGGACUUUUACUUUGAGGAAAUUAGAGUGUUUACGGCAGGCAAUCGCCUUGAAUAUAUUAGCAUGGAAUAAUAAUAUAGGACCUUGGGUCUAUUGUUGGUUUCUAGAUCUAAGGUAAUGAUUAAUAGGGAUAAUUGGGGGCAUUCGUAUUAACACGUCAGAGGUGAAAUUCUUGGAUUGUGUUACGACGAACUACUGCGAAAGCAUUUGCCAAGGAUGUUUUCAUUGAUCAGAACGAAAGUGCGGGGAUCGAAGACGAUUAGAUACCGUCGUAGUCUGCACCAUAAACUAUGCCAACUA
Molecule: ribosomal RNA, 431 nt
Filed under: uncultured marine eukaryote
Lineage: Eukaryota
Description: SSU rRNA
Rfam family: Eukaryotic small subunit ribosomal RNA
Source: RNAcentral